UCGAGGUUCGACGGUAUCGAUAAGCUUGCCAUGGGCCUACGGGAGGCAGCAGCAAGGAAUUUUCCACAAUGGGCGCAAGCUGAUGGAGCAACGCCGCGUGGGGGAUGACGCACUUCGGUGUGUAAACCCCUUUUCGAGGGGACGAAGGCAAUGACGGUACCCUCGGAAUAAGGAUCGGCUAACUACGUGCCAGCAGCCGCGGUAAGACGUAGGAUCCGAGCGUUGUCCGGAGUUACUGGGCGUAAAGCGCGCGCAGGCGGACACGCGCAUCGGCGGUGAAAGCCCCCCGCUCAACGGGGGAGGGUCCGUCGAGAUGGCGUGUCUGGAGGCAGGGAGAGGCCAGUGGAAUUCCGGGUGUAGUGGUGAAAUGCGUAGAGAUCCGGAGGAACACCAGUGGCGAAGGCGGCUGGCUGGACCUGACCUGACGCUGAGGCGCGAAGGCGUGGGGAGCGAACGGGAUUAGAUACCCCGGUAGUCCACGCAGUAAACGAUGGGUACUAGGUGUGGCGGGAGUUGACCCUGCCGUGCCGGCGCUAACGCAGUAAGUACCCGCCUGGGGAGUACGGCCGCAAGCU
This 575-nucleotide ribosomal RNA is filed under the name uncultured bacterium. RNAcentral describes it as "bacterial SSU rRNA". It matches the Rfam family "Bacterial small subunit ribosomal RNA", at positions 303 to 894 of the family's 1533-position model. The record is from RNAcentral.